AAGUUUAAUAGUUUGCAUAUCGCCGUAGGUUGAAUAUUUUUAUAAAAAGGAAAUAUUCAAUAAGUUUUAUAAUAAAAGAAUUCAGGUCAAGAUGUAGCUUAUAGUUAAGAAGAGGUGGAUUACAAUAAAUUUAUUUAUUAUGGAUUAAUAAAUAAAAUUUUAUUAUGAAAGUGGAUUUAAAGGUAAUUUUAUCUAAAUUUAUAAAAUGAUUUUAGCUCUAAAAUAUGUACAUAUCGCCCGUCGCUUUCACUUUAAAGUGGAAUAAGUCGUAACAGAGUAGGUGUACUGGAAAGUGUUCCUAGAAAGAUCAAGUUAGAGCUUGGAAAAGCAUUUUAGUUACAUUAAAAAGUUUAUUGUAAAAUCAAUAUAAUUUGAAUAUAAAGUUUUAUUAAGUUUUUUUAUUUAAUUUUAUUUUUUAUAUAAGUAUAUUUUAUUUUUAUUAAUUUGUUAGAAAAAAUAAAUUUUAUUAUAGAGUAUUAGUAUUGUAGAAGAAUAAUUUUUUAUUUAUUAAAGAAUAAUUAAUUUUUAGUACCUUGGGUAUCAGGGUUUAUUAAUUUAUAGUUAAAAAUUUAAUUAUCUCGAAUUAAUAAGAGUUAUAGUUGUAUUUAUUUUUUUGUUGAAUAAAAAUUUUUAAUACAGUUAUGGAGAUGAAACGUUAUUCGUUUAUUAAUAUAUCUAGUUUUUAAAGAAAAAAAUUUAAUUUUUUUAUUAUUUUAAUAUUUAAUUAAAUUUUUAAUUGUAUAUUUGUAAUAUAAAAUAUUUUAAGGGAUGAGCUUUAAAAUAAAUUUUUUUAAAAUAUUAUAUUUUUUUAUUAAGUAGGAUUGUAAGUUUUUAUCUUUAAAAGUGUGUUGUAACUAUUUUAAUUAUACAUAUAAUUUAUAUUUUAUUUUGAAAUUUUUUAUUUAAAUAGAGAUUUUAUUUUAGGUAAAUUUCGUAAAAAUGAUGAAAUUAGUAUAAUAUUUUUGUAUUUAAUAAUUUUAUAAGAAAGGUUAAGUAAAGGAAUUCGGCAAAUAAAUUUUUCACCUGUUUAUUAAAAACAUGGCCUUUUGAUUAUAAUUUAAGGUCUGGCCUGCCCAAUGAGGAUUUCAAUGGCCGCGGUAUUUUGACCGUGCAAAGGUAGCAUAAUCAUUAGUUUUUUAAUUGAAAGCUGGAAUGAAAGGUUGGAUGAAAAAAUAGCUGUCUCUAUUUAAAUUGUAUAGAAUUUUAUUUUUAAGUAAAAAAGCUUAAAUGAUUCUAGAAGACGAGAAGACCCUAUAGAGUUUAAUUAAUUUGUUUUAUUUAUUUUUUAGUAUUUAU
This 1296-nucleotide ribosomal RNA is filed under the name Ecrizothis boviei. RNAcentral's name for it is "partial 16S ribosomal RNA". Lineage: Eukaryota; Metazoa; Arthropoda; Insecta; Coleoptera; Curculionidae. The record is from RNAcentral.